GCGGGUAUGGUUGAAUGGUAUAAUUUUUCCUUGCCAAGGAAAAGAUGCGGGUUCGAUUCCCGCUACCCGCC
Molecule: transfer RNA, 71 nt
Filed under: Thuja plicata (western redcedar)
Lineage: Eukaryota; Viridiplantae; Streptophyta; Pinopsida; Cupressales; Cupressaceae
Also listed under: 3 other names
Description: tRNA-Gly
Rfam family: tRNA
About the family: Transfer RNA (tRNA) molecules are approximately 80 nucleotides in length. Their secondary structure includes four short double-helical elements and three loops (D, anti-codon, and T loops).
Source: RNAcentral